RNAcentral lists this long non-coding RNA (1185 nucleotides) under Homo sapiens (human). RNAcentral describes it as "HSALNT0373615". The record is from RNAcentral. Lineage: Eukaryota; Metazoa; Chordata; Mammalia; Primates; Hominidae.
CACACUCUGAGGCACUGGAGGUUACGACCUCAACAUAUGAAUUUUGGGGAGAAGCAAUUCAGCCUCAAACAGAAGGAUGAGGUUGAUAUGAUUCUAUUUAACCGUCAUUCCAUAUGGGUGCCUUUUAUAACGGUAGAAUUUUUUUUUUUUUUUUUUUGACGGAGUCUCGCUGUGUCACCAGGCUGGAGUGCAGUGGAGCGAUCUUGGCUCACUCCGCCUCCCAGCAGGGGCGGGGUUUCACCAUGUUAGCCAGGAUGGUGUCCAUCUCUUGACCUCGUGAUCCGCCUGCCUGCGCCUCCCAAAGAGCUGGGAUUACAGGCCUGAGCCACCGCGCCCGGCCGUACAGUUUGUAUUCUAACACCAACUCAUAAGGGAAUAAACCAGGGUUACAAGUGUUGCUGCCUCACCAUGGACAUCCCACAGGACAAUCCACUGAACAAAUAACCCUUUUGUGUAGAUCCAGGAUACUUUUCACUUCCUAAACAUAAAUCCCACCACAUCUGUUCAACCAGCUCUGCUCCAGGAUAAAAAAAUAUAUAUUGAUGAAUUUCCAGCCUUGUUUCAUAUUCUGUUGUUCCCGGCAGCAGAUUUAUUUUUUAUAGUUGUAAACCGCCAAGUCAUUUUUUGGUGCUGUCUUUUGUUUUAUAAAGUCUUCCCUAUAAAGACAAACUACAGAGCAUUAUCAAGAUUUUCUGUUAAAUUGUAAAGUUCUUUAGACUUAAAUUUAAAUUAAGAUAUAUUCUUUAAGUACAAAUGAUAUUUUUAAAUUUAUCUAAGGGCCUGGUGGAGUAUGAAGACAAAAAGAAAGAAAACUCUUAAAGAGGGUCACCUUCACUGAUAUUGGCAAAUCCUUGUGUUUUCUGUCUGAAAGAUGAUUCAUGAAUGUUUUGCAUCACUUUCCUUUAGAGAAAGAGUGCAUUCUUAAAGCAUAAACAAUACCUAUUACAAAGCAGCUUCAGUUUUUUUGUACAUUAAAAUAUAUAUAUAAUAUUUGUAUAUAUUGUUCUAAAUCCCUUGCUCAUUCUGAAAAAGUUUUUUUUUCUGACUUGUUUACAAUGACUCUCUUUGUUUUUUUACUGAAAUCAAGUUAGUACUAUCUUCCAAAUGACUAGUGUGUAGAGGGAAAUUUAUAGCACUAAAUGCCCACAAGAGAAAGCAGGAAAGAUCUAAAAUUGACACCCUAAC